RNAcentral lists this ribosomal RNA (253 nucleotides) under uncultured bacterium. Its description in RNAcentral is "partial 16S ribosomal RNA". It matches the Rfam family "Bacterial small subunit ribosomal RNA", at positions 524 to 776 of the family's 1533-position model. The record is from RNAcentral.
UACGUAGGGGGCAAGCGUUGUCCGGAAUCAUUGGGCGUAAAGCGCGUUUAGGCGGCCUGUAAAGUCUGGUGUGAAAUCUUGCGGCUUAACCGUAAGCGGUCACUGGAUACUGACAGGCUUGAAUCCGGAAGAGGAGUGUGGAAUUCCUGGUGUAGCGGUGGAAUGCGUAGAUAUCAGGAGGAACACCUAUGGCGAAGGCAGCACUCUGGUACGUGAUUGACGCUGAGACGCGAAAGCGUGGGGAGCAAACAGG